Molecule: unclassified non-coding RNA, 462 nt
Filed under: Hevea brasiliensis (rubber tree)
Lineage: Eukaryota; Viridiplantae; Streptophyta; Magnoliopsida; Malpighiales; Euphorbiaceae
Source: RNAcentral
AGGAAGAACUUUUAAUGUGUCACCAGGCUGAAUUAGUAAGGCAUCUAUUUCCCUUUCCCCAAUGCACCUUCCACCUUUGUCUUUGACAAUCAGAAGCGCCGUUGCUGGUGCAAGUUCUACUAACUUCUUUAUGGCAUCUGAUGUUUUUCCCUUUGCAAGACACUCCAAAUACUUCCCCAACAGUACAAAUGUUAUCAGCAUGGAACUUGUUUCAAAGUAUGUUGGAGACCAGAAUCCAGAAGCCGCACCAUAUAGCAGUGCACAAACUGAGUAGAAGUAUGAGGCUGAAGUCCCUAGUGCAACUAAAACAUCCAUGUUGGUUGAACCAUUUUUAAGGGCUCUACCAGCUGCUGUAUAGAAGCGCUUCCCAAUUACAAAUUGGACCACACUCACUAAAGCCCACUUUAACCAAUCACCCAUAAGGAAAGGCCCGCAUCUCCAGAGAAGCAAAGAAUAUAGAAG